RNAcentral lists this ribosomal RNA (1233 nucleotides) under metagenome. RNAcentral describes it as "bacterial LSU rRNA". It matches the Rfam family "Bacterial large subunit ribosomal RNA", at positions 1709 to 2925 of the family's 2925-position model. The record is from RNAcentral.
UAAACUCGGCAAAUUGACACCGUAACUUCGGAAGAAGGUGUGCCUUUGGUAGGUGAGCGGGAUUUACUCCUGUGAGCCGAAGAGGGCCGCAGAGAAUCGGUGGCUGCGACUGUUUAUCAAAAACACAGCACUCUGCUAAGACGUUGGAAGUCGACGUAUAGGGUGUGACGCCUGCCCGGUGCCGGAAGGUUAAGUGAUGGGGUGCAAGCUCUUGAUCGAAGCCCCGGUAAACGGCGGCCGUAACAAUAACGGUCCUAAGGUAGCGAAAUUCCUUGUCGGGUAAGUUCCGACCCGCACGAAUGGCGUAACGAUGGCCACACUGUCUCCUCCUGAGACUCAGCGAAGUUGAAAUGUUUGUGAAGAUGCAAUCUUCCCGCGGCUAGACGGAAAGACCCCAUGAACCUUUACUGUAGCUUUGCAUUGGACUGUGACGCUGUCUGUGUAGGAUAGCUGGGAGGCUUUGAAGCCGGGUCGCUAGACUCGGUGGAGCCGACGUUGAAAUACCAGCCUGACGACGUUGCGGUUCUAACCUGGGCCCCUUGACGGGGUCGGGGACCGUGCAUGGUAGGCAGUUUGACUGGGGCGGUCUCCUCCUAAAGGGUAACGGAGGAGUGCGAAGGUCACCUAGGUACGGUCGGAAAUCGUACUCAUAGUGCAAUGGCAUAAGGUGGCUUGACUGCGAGACCGACAAGUCGAGCAGGUGCGAAAGCAGGUCAUAGUGAUCCGGUGGUUCUGUAUGGAAGGGCCAUCGCUCAACGGAUAAAAGGUACUCUGGGGAUAACAGGCUGAUUCCUCCCAAGAGUUCAUAUCGACGGGGGAGUUUGGCACCUCGAUGUCGGCUCAUCACAUCCUGGGGCUGUAGCCGGUCCCAAGGGUAUGGCUGUUCGCCAUUUAAAGUGGUACGUGAGCUGGGUUCAAAACGUCGUGAGACAGUUUGGUCCCUAUCUGCCGUGGGCGCUGGAGAUUUGACGGGGGCUGCUCCUAGUACGAGAGGACCGGAGUGGACGCAUCCCUGGUGUACCGGUUGUCACGCCAGUGGCAUUGCCGGGUAGCUAUAUGCGGAAGAGAUAACCGCUGAAAGCAUCUAAGCGGGAAACUUGCCUGAAGAUGAGAUCUCCCGGGAGCUUGACUCCCCUGAAGGGUCGUUUGAGACCAGGACAUUGAUAGGCUGGGUGUGUAAGCGCAGUAAUGCGUUGAGCUAACCAGUACUAAUUGCCCGUGCGGCUUGACUCU